RNAcentral lists this ribosomal RNA (460 nucleotides) under uncultured bacterium. Its description in RNAcentral is "partial 16S ribosomal RNA". It matches the Rfam family "Bacterial small subunit ribosomal RNA", at positions 338 to 795 of the family's 1533-position model. The record is from RNAcentral.
CCUACGGGAGGCAGCAGUGAGGAAUAUUGGGCAAUGGACGCAAGUCUGAACCAGCAAAGCCGCGUGCAGGAAGACGGCCCUAUGAGUUGUAAACUGCUUUUGUACGAGGGUAAACGCAGAUACGUGUAUCUGUCUGAAAGUAUCGUACGAAUAAGGAUCGGCUAACUCCGUGCCAGCAGCCGCGGUAAUACGGAGGAUUCAAGCGUUAUCCGGAUUGAUUGGGGUUAAAGGGUGCGUAGGCGGUCGGAUAAGUUAGAGGUGAAAUCCCGAGGCUCAACUUCGGAAUUGCCUCUGAUACUGUUCGGCUAGAGCGUAGUUGCGGUAGGCGGAAUGUGUGGUGUAGCGGUGAAAUGCUUAGAGAUCAUGCAGAACACCGAUUGCGAAGGCAGCUUACCAGGCUACUUCUGACGUUGAGGCACGAAAGCGUGGGGAGCAAACAGGAUUAGAUACCCCAGUAGUC